GAUGAACGCUGGCGGCGUGCCUAAUACAUGCAAGUCGAGCGAACGGACGAGAAGCUUGCUUUUCUGAUGUUAGCGGCGGACGGGUGAGUAACACGUGGAUAACCUACCUAUAAGACUGGGAUAACUUCGGGAAACCGGAGCUAAUACCGGAUAAUAUUUUGAACCGCAUGGUUCAAAAGUGAAAGACGGUCUUGCUGUCACUUAUAGAUGGAUCCGCGCUGCAUUAGCUAGUUGGUAAGGUAACGGCUUACCAAGGCAACGAUGCAUAGCCGACCUGAGAGGGUGAUCGGCCACACUGGAACUGAGACACGGGCCAGACUCCUAAGGGAGGCAGCAGUAGGGAAUCUUCCGCAAUGGGCGAAAGCCUGACGGAGCAACGCCGCGUGAGUGAUGAAGGUCUUCGGAUCGUAAAACUCUGUUAUUAGGGAAGAACAUAUGUGUAAGUAACUGUGCACAUCUUGACGGUACCUAAUCAGAAAGCCACGGCUAACUACGUG
This 497-nucleotide ribosomal RNA is filed under the name uncultured bacterium. RNAcentral describes it as "partial 16S ribosomal RNA". It matches the Rfam family "Bacterial small subunit ribosomal RNA", at positions 28 to 507 of the family's 1533-position model. The record is from RNAcentral.